CGAGAGGAGAAGAGCUUGUCGCCGCUCACGCAGAGGGGAAGCUGCCUGAGGGCAGGGGAGAGGAGCGCAAAACACAGAGACAAGACUGGGGGUGGUACGAAACCUGACUUUCGCUCUGAAAAUGACAAUAGCAAAGCGGUCUCACGGGACAAAACCCUACUCGCGAAACUGGCCGUAGGUAGGAGGCUGUUCGUGCUACACGAGGGCCAUGUUACCUACCCGAAGCAAAAAAGGGGCGCUGUUGCUUUCAGACUUUUUACCUCUGGUAAAGUUAGUACAGGGGGAACGCGGCGCCCUGGGACUGAGCCUGAACUGCGGGUAGGAGUGAAUGUCAGCUGGGCAACGAGGAAGAGGCGAAGGAAGCAUUUUAACAACAGGAAAGAGUUACUGCAUCAGUGUCUGAAACAAGAUGCUCUUUAUUGUCCAGAUUAUCCCUCUGCAUCAAAGACAUAAGUAUCAAAGCAGUUACACGUGUGAAUGUAAAAAAUGUCUACACUUCUAAAUGCUGUUCUGAGCACAAGCUUACCUAGUGUAAAAUAUUUGUAACGAAUUAAAUAUUAGGAAGAAACAAAGUUGGAAUCUGGCAUAACAUCAGACCUCAGAAACAGAAUUAAAUACAACAGCGGAGCCUAGACCCUAACUAAGCACCACUGUUAAAAAAAAUUAUAGCAGAAAAACCACAACAGUUUGAGGAGUUCUCUGUCCUGGCCAUUAUUUCUUCUCUUGUCCCACCACCAUCAUUUAAAAGGAACAGGAUUACCAAAAGAUUAAACAAGGAUUUCUACUAUAUCUGCUAGAAGCAUAGUUCUUAUCAUCUGUAACUCUCAAAAGAUUGUCUUCAAAAUACAGUGUUGAAUAGUACUGCCAUACUGAGGUUUCUUAGCAUUUCAUAAUUUGUAGGCAACACAGCUAAGCUGAAGUUUUGUUAACAGUAUUCUACGUAAUGUAUUACUGGAGUAAGGACAUUCAUGUUCAGAAAGACGUGCUAGUGAGGUGAAAAUUCAUAGAAAUGAAGGACAAUUAAAACUUGGUUUUUGUAUGCUCCAAUCACGUUCUAAGUAAAGUAUCUAAAAUUUUAAUACACGUUCACAUCUUAGUUAAAGCUAUAAAGAGCCUCACACAGAAGAGCUGCAACAUGAAGAUAACAUAAUUCACAAACAGGGAGUUACACAAGAGAACUUUCAAAAACAAAUGAAACGGAUUUGAGACCUGUGACCUUCAAGAACCAUACUUACAGGUCAUUCUACAUCCCUGUCGAGAUCCCUAUGCUUUGUCAUAGGUCAGGACUACUGAAAUAAUGACCGACUUAAGCACAAAGAAGCUAGGAAAUUCAGUGCCAAGAUUUCCAAGGAAUUCUUCAAUCAGGAAAAAACCACAGGUAAGCUCACAUCAUUAUGCCUCCUGUGGAAAGGGAUCUAUUUUAUUAGACAUAUUUAAUAUACUUGUUGGAUCAGCCUGGGGAAUCUAUUAAGAUAGUUACUGUUAUAAUUAAAUUAGAUAAGGGUCUUCAGAGCAUGCAAAUAGUAUGUAAAUUAAACAAAAUGUAAAAAAAAGUAAUAAGAAAUCCCACAAUACUGGAUGCUGCUCCAAACCAGUAGCAAAAUACAACUAGAAACUGUGGUAGGUACUAGCAAAUAAAACUAGAACACUGCAUUAAUCUAAAAGCUCACUCAGUAGUGAGCCAUCCCAGCAAUAAGAUAGCAAAAGGAUAGCAAACUUCCAGACUAAUUUCUUUUUCAUAACUUAAUUCCUUAUUUUCACAAGAGCUUUGAACAGGCAGUCCCUUGUUGUGACCAUAAAUAGAGUUACAUAAUAUUGAACAAAAUCAAUGUAGCCAAAACAGGUCUUCUGCAACGGUAAUAAAGGGACAGUUCAUAAUUUCCUUUUGGUACUUCAAUUUUUCAUUUCAAACAUGUUUUCUUUGGGCUAUGAAGUGUUCUGAAGACAUGCAUUAGAAAUCCUUUGAUACAGAUCUAUCUGUGCUGCUGCAACGAA
This is a long non-coding RNA of Pelodiscus sinensis (Chinese soft-shelled turtle), 1995 nucleotides long. RefSeq lists it as uncharacterized. NCBI's taxonomy places the organism in Eukaryota, Metazoa, Chordata, Testudines, Trionychidae. The record is from RefSeq and is a predicted model, not a curated record.